RNAcentral lists this transfer-messenger RNA (364 nucleotides) under Candidatus Wildermuthbacteria bacterium RIFCSPHIGHO2_01_FULL_45_20. It matches the Rfam family "transfer-messenger RNA". Rfam says of the family: Bacterial tmRNA, also known as 10Sa RNA or SsrA, is named for its dual tRNA and mRNA-like properties. RNAcentral also lists the same sequence under 3 other names. Lineage: Bacteria; Candidatus Wildermuthiibacteriota. The record is from RNAcentral.
GGGGACGAUUGCUUUGACGAAUGCGGCAAUCUCCAAACGCAAGCAGGCAGAGUUUGGGCACUCUUUCAAAAACCCAGCAGCUAUAACUGCCAACAUUUUCAGACCUGCUCCACAGCAGGCGCUUGCUUUUGCCUAAGGGCGAAAGCCAUCUGGCUUGUUCAUCCUCGAUAGACAAACCCAGGUGUCAUUCUUUCGAGGAAAAGAGUGCGUUGGGGGCUCCAGCCACUCUGGAUAUACCUUAGCCAUAGAACAAGAAGGUUUCGUUCUGUUUUCACUUCAUGUUCGAACUUUCAACAGAGCUACGCCUGAAGAAAUCGUUUGAAGACGCGUUCGGACGAGGGCUCGAUACCCUCCGUCUCCACCA